Molecule: long non-coding RNA, 2041 nt
Organism: Mastomys coucha (southern multimammate mouse)
Lineage: Eukaryota; Metazoa; Chordata; Mammalia; Rodentia; Muridae
Exons: 6
Source: RefSeq, a predicted model, not a curated record
GAACUCUAGUGACUCCCUUCCAGUAGAGCCAGACAAGGAUACGCUUUAAGUAGUCGUCAUGGAAACCAGAGAACAUAGCUCUUCUCCAAGGUCUGAAGGAAGGAUGAUGAGAAGUUUAAGUGAUUUCCAUGGAAACCGAGAACAGAUUCAGUGCUGGUUCAGAUCCCUAGCGCAUUAGCUAGCAGGCAAGUGUUCAGGGAUGGUGAUGCUAGAAGAUCUGAGAGCCUGAUUCUUAGCAUCAGGCCGACCCCGGUGCCACUUCCAAGCCAGAUUCGAAUUAGCCGGUGGGGUCAACAGCAAGGUGACCAUACUCCCACAGAGCUUAGCCCUUGCCUCCUCUGACUCAAGAUGUAGUUUGAGGCUCCCCUUACUUAUCCUGUCCAGUGUUGCCCCCUUGCUCUCUACUACUUUCCUCACCAGAGUGGGUACCCCACAGAUCUGGGGUCACAAAAUGGAACCUUGGUCCUGUUUGUAGGAGUCAAGACUCUUUUAAGCAUCCGGCCCUGAUUUCCCUGCAGCUUUAACAAGAUGUUUCCCUUUGCAUAUUCAUUAAUGACAAAAAUGAAGCUAGACAUUGCUGCCUUAAAUAAAUAGCAGUACUGGAAGUGCUUCUAAUAGCCUGAGAGUGGAUAGCGGUGCUCAGCAGGCCGCUGUUUUCUUCUGUUAUUUGUUCCCUUCAUAUGUUCCCUUUCACAAGGAGCUAACAAUGAGCAAAACAGUCCAGAGUUCCUGGUACCAAGCGGGAGACAGACUAUCAAGAACACAUAUCAGCGUGUCAGAAGGGGUUUGAUCUGUGGAUUCAAACAAGGGAAGACCAAGGCAAGGAAGAUCGGAGGUAGGAGGAUGGCAGUUCCCAAAAGGACAAAGUGGCAGAAUAAAGGAAAGGGAUCAUGAUCGGCAUCAAUGUGAAAAAUUAAAUAUGAUUCCAGUGCCAUUGAGUAACUGCCUGGGGUUUUCCAGCAUGGUGUCAAGAACCCCCCAGGAUAACUGUGCAGUGUAAUGAAGCAGCUAUGAAGAACUGAGGAUGUCUUCAAGGGGUAAACUAGUAUAGACUCAGUAUGUUGCUAUGGCAAAAGAGCAAAUGCUUCCCAGAAUUCAACAUGCAUGUAAGCAGGGGGCUGGCAAGAUGGCUCAGCAGGGUUGGAAGCUAAUGCCAAAGUAAAUACUUCCUGGGCAUUCUCCGGCUGGCAGAGCCUGUGUAGCUGCGUCUCCUGCCUAGCUUAGCUCAUUCAGAGAAAAGCACACAGUCUGCGGAUAUCAUCUCUGUAUCAGAAGGGACUCUGAGCAUCAUCCUGGGAGAUCGAGACUCUUCCAUUUAUUUCCUUUCCCUGUUUUUAAAGAUGGAGCUGCACCUGGGACAGGUGUAUGGGAAUGGAACUUUCAGGGAACUGGGGACUCCAGGAGAAAGGCAUCAACUCCAGAGCUUGGCAUUUGGUGUGGACUCUGCCUCCCGACUCAACUUCCUGUACAGUCCCGGACCUGUGGCUGAGAAGUGCUCUGCUAAUCUUCUGGGUCUUGAGGGAUCUCAAGAGCACAGAGUUGUCACACGGCAGAAUCUGGUAGCAGGGAUCCGGGACCAUCACAUUCUAUGAGAAGUCUGGCUCCAUUUAUACUAACUGAAGAGACCAGGCCAGAAAGCGGACGAACUCUGCAUUUGGAGAGGCUGUGGCGCUGUGAAGGGUGAUGCUCGGCAUGUCCUCAACUCUCGGCAUCUUCUUCCAUGUUCUGAGAAGAAUAUGAGAAUCUUCAGAAGAUAAGAGCACCCUGCCCUCUUACAUCCUCGCUUCAGCCAGGAGCCUUGCCUCUGGGGAUCUUUCUGUCAGAGAUGCCUCCUGCCUUCCUCUCAUCCUCAUCUGUUCUCCAAACCCCCAAUGCUCUCUCAGUGGGGGUCUCUCUGAAAGUGUGCACCCCUUGAGCUCUUCCUUUUCUAGAGUGCAAUUAAACAAAACAAAACAAAAAAACUAAAAAACACUAAGCAUGUACCUGCCACAAAUAAUAUACCUCCCACCCCCUGCUUUUUAAAAAUGAGAUGUUUGUACAA